AAAAUAUAUAUAAAAAAAAUUUCUAAGUGAUGAAUGCUUAGGGUAUUGCUGCUUAUUUCUUACUGUACUGUGGUGUCAACAUUUCUAAGUGUCCAUAGGACUUCUUUGGGCCUGAAUAUAUUAUCAGUUUUUAUAAAAGCAUUUGUGUAAUCUCAAAAUGUGUUUUUAUUCUACCAGUUCUAUUUGUUAACUCAAUUUUUUCAUUAUUUUAUUCAAAUCCAUAUUUUCUCUGACUUUCAUUUACUUUAGAGUUCUUAAUCUGGGGGUCCAUGGCCUGCCUAGGAGUCUUUAGCAUGUAGGGGUUUAGGAGUUGCAGACCCCUAGGGAUCGAACAAAGCUGGGUAUGUGCUUGAAGGAAUUUUGCUGGGACAAGGAUCUGUAGUAUUUACUAUAUUUUUAAAUGCCUCUGUGACACCAAAGCAGUUCAGAACACUCAUUUACCUGAUCUAAUCAUAGUUUGAUGUUUGUGUGUUAUAUCUCUAUGUAUUCCUGUUUCACUUUUAAUUUCUGUAUGUGUAUUGUCGCUAUGUUGUGCAGUUUUUCUCAAGUCAUUUUUGAGAAAUAGGCAGGGUAUGAAUUAUCAAUAAAUAAGUAUCAUGUUUGGGGCAUAUA
RNAcentral lists this long non-coding RNA (612 nucleotides) under Homo sapiens (human). RNAcentral's name for it is "non-protein coding lnc-ZNF70-1:1". The record is from RNAcentral. Lineage: Eukaryota; Metazoa; Chordata; Mammalia; Primates; Hominidae.